Molecule: long non-coding RNA, 1801 nt
Filed under: Phasianus colchicus (ring-necked pheasant)
Lineage: Eukaryota; Metazoa; Chordata; Aves; Galliformes; Phasianidae
Description: lncRNA (ENSPCLG00000007765.1)
Source: RNAcentral
CCGCACACGCGGCGUCGCCGCCCCCCCUCCCCGGAGGGAGCCCGCAGAGGGUCCCCGAGCCCCCGCCCCGGACCUCUUGGCGGCGGGGCGCUCGGCCGCCAGCCUCCCCUUCCCAGGGGAGCAUCGCUUACUUACCCCUUCUGGCGGCUUUCCUGAGUUUUUGGGAGGUGGGGGGGCUCCGCUGGGAUAAAUCCUUCCGGUUCCUAACGGAGCUCACUGCAUCUCGUGGGUACCACCGCCGUGCGUGUGUGCGGGGCUGCUCCUCCGCAUGUCAGUCCAAGUUGCCGUGCUCGCUACGGAACCUGGGCUCUCUUGUGCAGCUGUCAGGCGCGUCCAGGCUCCCCGCACCGCGCAGCAGAGCGGAGCUCAGCCCGAUUGCCGCGAGACGCCGGGGUUUGCACAACUGCAGCAAGAAGCCAAAUCAAAAAGCCAAUCUGCGAGCCUCCGAACUCCACGUCACCCUAUCAGCUGGGAGCGAGAGCUGCAACAGAAUUACAAGCCGUGCAUAUUUAUUCUCCUGAACCCGGGGGGGGAUUUUCGGAUUGUUUGAAGAGAGCCACAAUGAAACCAGAGCAAACCCUUCACAAAACAAACAGAGGCAGAGCAGCUGUCUUGCAUGUAAUGCACACACGGACCUCUGCGCUCUCUGUGGGUUAUGGAUGGAUGGGAACGUGCACUCAUCCUCUGAGAGUACUGACUUUGUGCAUCUCAAGCAGGGGAGGGGAUGCACACGGUGGCAAAGCCUCACAGCAGAAGCUAUUGAUUGCACAUCUGAAAUUUAAGGGAUCUGCCACAGAUUAAAUAUAGGCAAUGUAAUUACACAGGCAGCCUCAGUCCUGGUAACCACCCGAAGCCACAUGCUUUGGUUUGUGCUUGCAGAAACCAUCCAAUCAUUUCUUUCAUCCAAAGUCAAAUAGCAACUUGUGAGACAGCAAGUCAUCCCAAGGCAAAAAUACACAUUGCCUCCAAAGUUGCUAUUUGACUUGGGCAGGAGAUGGCCAGGGGUUGGUUUCCAUGACCAUGGAGCAGGACUGCAGCUCUGUCUCAUACCACACACAGUGACCUUUGCACAUGGCUUGUCUCCUGUUGCCAUUCCUUCUUUUUUUGUCUGUUGCUACCACAGACACGAGUUUCCAGCCAUUUUACCUACUGCUGUGACUUUUCACUAAUGUAAAGAACCACAAAAGGUGCUGUAAGGCAAUGUUUCCUGGCACAGCUGCGUACCAGGGAUGGUCGAUUCCAUCCCUCAGAAACGAGCCAGCAGGUCACAGCAUCCCUGAACACCAGCUGCUCCAUCCUGGUGGUUGACCCAUAGGGCAGCCCUGACCCCACCACCAUAGGAUGGAAGGAUCCAGAAACCUGCAGGAGCAGUUAGUUAUGGUCUGGAACCUACUGUUGUUAAUUAGAAACAGAGGAGCAGCUGGAGGAGGACUCAGUCACUGCCAGGUGUGGUGAAUGAGCAUGAGGCAGCAGCAGAGAACAGCCCAUGGGGCCCAGCCUCAGUCCUGCAUCUCCUUUUGUCUCCCAGUCACCCAAAAAAGACAGGCCAGGUGGGGGACGUGGGGACACACAAGUCAGACAACAAGCUGAGAUCUAGCCAGGCCAACCAUGCCCAAGCUGGGGAUGCCAGCCUAAGAGCAUCAGUCUCUCAGUGCUCUCCAAUGCUUAGUAAGGGACAAGGUUCCUGCUGGCAUGGGGGGAACUCUCUGAUGCAGGCCCCAAGCAAGUGCAGGAGGCACCAAGGAGUGGGGGUACAAAUGGCACAUCAGUGGGUGCACACCCUCAUGCAGUGCACAGGAUG